This 427-nucleotide ribosomal RNA is filed under the name Imantodes cenchoa (blunthead tree snake). RNAcentral's name for it is "partial 16S ribosomal RNA". It matches the Rfam family "Bacterial large subunit ribosomal RNA", at positions 1951 to 2594 of the family's 2925-position model. Lineage: Eukaryota; Metazoa; Chordata; Lepidosauria; Squamata; Dipsadidae. The record is from RNAcentral.
CAAAGGUAGCGUAAUCACUUGUCUAUUAAUUGUAGACCCGUAUGAAAGGCAAAAUGAGAGUCUGCCUGUCUCUUAUAAUAAAUCAAUUAAACUGAUCUCCUAGUAAAAAAGCUAGAAUACCAACAUAAGACCAGAAGACCCUGUGAAGCUUAAACUAAACUAUUAAACCCUAUAAUACCUACUUUCGGUUGGGGCGACCUUGGAAAAAAAAAGAACUUCCAAACACAUGACCAUAACUCAUUCACCAGGCCAACAAGCCUAACACGACCCAGUACAACUGACAACUGAAACAAGUUACUCCAGGGAUAACAGCGCUAUCUUCUUCAAGAGUCCAUAUCAAAAAGAAGGUUUACGACCUCGAUGUUGGAUCAGGACAUCCUAAUGGUGCAGCCGCUAUUAAGGGUUCGUUUGUUCAACGAUUAACAGU